This is a long non-coding RNA of Oncorhynchus tshawytscha (Chinook salmon), 729 nucleotides long. Lineage: Eukaryota; Metazoa; Chordata; Actinopteri; Salmoniformes; Salmonidae. The record is from Ensembl.
CCUUGGGUUUACUAUUUACAGAAAGUCACAUGUAUGGAAACUUGCAGAAAGGAGUACAAUAUAUUGUUUCUUGUUGUGAAUGCAGUUAGACAGUUGAGCCCUCAGGCUAUCAACCUCUUUGCACAGACAACUAAUUACCUUUUACACACCAUCUGCUGACUGCCACGUAUACAGAAAGGGGUUGUAUUUUCUCUGUAAAAGCAGAGACAAGGCUAUGUUUGUUAAGCUUUCAACUCUGAACCAUUCUUGGUGAUGUUGUUGCUUCAUUUUUGCAAAUCUUAUAAUAAAGCUGUUGUUGGAAGAAUCAAGUCUCUCUUUUCAUUUAUAAUUUAUCUGACAAAUUUGCGACAAGGAUGGGACGGUUAACUCCGCUUGCUGAUUGCUUCCGAGGAGAUCGAGGUUACCUACGUGCAGGACAGCGUUAGAUGUGGCUCAUGGAGCCCACUCUCCGACUAAAACGGAGCAGAGAGAGACCUGCCUCAGACCUGCUGGGAGCAUCAGUGAGUGGAGACUCCAUUCCGGACAGACACAAUAAAUUAAGGCACACACAGGACCCCCGCCUUCAAUACCAUAGUUCCCUAUAAGCUCAUUACAAAGCUCACGGCCCUAGGUCUGAACUCCUCCCUACUCAACUGGGUGCUGGACUUCUUGACGGGCCAUCCCCAGGUGGUGACGAUAGGCAACAUGACCUCCUCGACACUGAUCCUCAACACGGGGACAACACAAGGG